GGGGAUUUAGCUCAGCGGUAGAGCGUUUGCCUAGCAAGCACAAGGCCCUGGGUUCGGUCCCCAGCUCCA
RNAcentral lists this transfer RNA (69 nucleotides) under Rattus norvegicus (Norway rat). It matches the Rfam family "tRNA". Rfam says of the family: Transfer RNA (tRNA) molecules are approximately 80 nucleotides in length. The record is from Rfam by way of RNAcentral. Lineage: Eukaryota; Metazoa; Chordata; Mammalia; Rodentia; Muridae.